GAUGAACGCUGGCGGCGUGCCUAAUACAUGCAAGUCGAGCGAACAGACGAGGAGCUUGCUCCUCUGACGUUAGCGGCGGACGGGUGAGUAACACGUGGAUAACCUACCUAUAAGACUGGGAUAACUUCGGGAAACCGGAGCUAAUACCGGAUAAUAUAUUGAACCGCAUGGUUCAAUAGUGAAAGACGGUUUUGCUGUCACUUAUAGAUGGAUCCGCGCCGCAUUAGCUAGUUGGUAAGGUAACGGCUUACCAAGGCGACGAUGCGUAGCCGACCUGAGAGGGUGAUCGGCCACACUGGAACUGAGACACGGUCCAGACUCCUACGGGAGGCAGCAGUAGGGAAUCUUCCGCAAUGGGCGAAAGCCUGACGGAGCAACGCCGCGUGAGUGAUGAAAGUCUUCGGGUCGUAAAACUCUGUUAUUAGGGAAGAACAAAUGUGUAAGUAACUAUGCACGUCUUGACGGUACCUAAUCAGAAAGCCACGGCUAACUACGUG
This 497-nucleotide ribosomal RNA is filed under the name uncultured bacterium. RNAcentral describes it as "partial 16S ribosomal RNA". It matches the Rfam family "Bacterial small subunit ribosomal RNA", at positions 28 to 507 of the family's 1533-position model. The record is from RNAcentral.